CGUGGUCCUCGGCGGCGACCGCGCUGCGACAGCCGAGCCCCGGGAGCCGCGAACCUGGGCGCGCACAGCCCGCGCCCCAACUCCGCGUCCUGCGUUCCCGCCCGCCGGAGGAGCCGCGUGACCUCGAGUACCUUCCUUGUCCCCUCCGAGCCUCAGUUUCCCCACCGUGCACAGUGGAACCCACCCUCUUGGCGUCACCUGGGGAGUCGAAAAUACUGAAAUCCUGCGAAAUUCCCUGUUGCGGGGCAGUUAAUCUUGGAAAAUAUGUGCCUUCCCCCACUCAAUAAAACCAGGCCACUAGAUUUGAGAGGGGCCCGCGUCUGACUGCGAACCCAGGGCCCUCGCCCCUACGAGACGGAGAAUCGACGUCCAAGAAUCCCCGGGGUCAGGAGGAAGGUGGAGGCCUGGGGCGUACGUCCCUUCCAUGCGCAUGAGGGACCCCCCGCCCCUCGGCAAUUCUUCCCUAAGCUCUAGGGUCGCGGAGACCCUGUGGGCGGGUGCGGGCUGCGGGAGCUGUGCUGGGGAGGCGGCGGUGGUGAAGUCCAAGAAACAAAGUCCUGGGAGUCGGCCCGAGGGAUUCCUCCUGGGUACUGAACUGAACCAGGAUGGGCUCCUGGCAGUGCUGUGUCCCGGGAAGAAGGUGUGAGGCUGUAGGUGCAGAAAUGGGGCAAGAGAUGAAAGGAAAAGGGGCGCUGCUGUUUGCCUUAACGAUUAGCUGGAUACCCGAGAGAGAGCGAAACGUUUUCUUCUAGCAGGACAAUUGGGAGGGAAGGACGCUGGCCCAUGGGGGUUAAAACCCGCGAGUCGAAUUCCACUGCUUACAUUCAUUCACUAUGAGGGAGACAACUUUGUGCUGGUGCUUCAAGUACAUGAUGUCAUUUGGUGCUCAGACGGCCCCUGGGCUGCCUGCAUCCCCCUUACAGUGAGGAUCUCUCAUGAUCAGCUCCCUCCAGGAGGCCUAGAGAGGAGUAGCCACUGCAAGAACCCCUGCCUCCUCCGUUAUCCCGGCUGCUUCUCGUCCCCUCAAUAUGGAUAGACCAGGAACUGGGAUCCCAUGAAAUAAUGGAGACCAGGAGGCUAGGCCCCCUGCAGAAGGCCCCACUCCCAGAAACCAGGAUUUAAGGGAUCUCGCCCAGGCAUUGGUCUAUUUUAGAAAUGCCCCAGGGAUUCCAUUAACUCUCAGGGAUUCCACGUGUUGUUAUACGGAACAAAGGUUAGAAUUUGAGGCAUUUCCAUUUUAUCUGGAAUUGGUAUCAGGUUGAACCAUACAAAAUUGCCGUUUUUGUAAAAGGGCCAAAGUUGUCACAUGUCAGCUCUUUCAUAUGCUUCAACUUAAUAGUUGCAGAUGAUGACACCUCUAGGCUUUGUCUAGAGUAGGGGCACUUUCCCAUCCCAUGUCCCCAGUAGCUCACACCAAAGGCCCCCAGCAGACACUUGAUGACAGCUGGUCCCUCCUCCUGGAAUAGCAUCCCCAACAGAACAUCCUUUCUGAAACCUUUCUGGCUCCUUCUGGCACAGCUCGUUGCUUUCUCCCCAGUCCCAGUCUUCCGUGAAAAUUCAUACCCACCACUCUGUAGCCUCAUUUUCUGUUCAUUUGCCUUCCUCCCCUCUUUGAGCUGAAGCCCUCAGAGGGCAGCACUGGCUCUGAAAAGAUGGCAUGGCCCAACCUCUGUCACUGACUUGAGAAAGCACCUUCUUCUAUCCACUAGUCCCCUGCUUAUCCCCAAAUAGGAGCAAAGUCUGCAAGAUUUUUCUUUUCAAGUGUUAAGAUUGAAGUGAAGAUUUUCUUGUUAACUGGUGUGGUAUAUUUUUGGAUCCUAACAAUUUAUUAAAGAAAAGCUGAAUAAUAUCCAAAAAGGAUCAAACUACAUGAAAAUGAAAAAGUAUGAUAAAGUUAAUCUGGGUGCAAAGUUUACAAAUAAAUGGCACCUUCUUUUACCUGUUUUGGCUCUCAACUUUGUCCUCACUCAAAAAAUGACAUUCAGACAGGUGCAGUGGCUCAUGCCUGUAAUCUCCGCACUUUGGGAGGCCAAGGCAGGGGGAUCACUUGAGUCCAGGAACAUGAGAGCAGCCUGAGCAACAUAAGGAAGCCUCAUCUCAACAAAAAUUUAAAAAUUAGCUGAAAGUGAUGGUACAUAUCUUUAGUCCCAGCGGCAAAUGAGUUUUAAGGGAGGCUAAAGUGGGAGGAUUACUUGAGCCCAGGAGUUUGAGGCUGCAGUGAACCAUGAUCUUACACUCCAGCCUGGGUGACUUCUCUUUUAAUAAGAGUCUGUCUCUUUAAGAAAAAAAAGAAAAUCAUUGGCAAGAUUGGCAGCAACUGCUUUCAAACGAGGUUAUAAGGAUUCAGAUUAGGCUUUGGACGGAAAGAGGUUCAGUCAUAGGUGCAGUACCCUUUGCUUACUGUCACACAUGCUUGUCCUAAUAUGAAGUCCUAAUAAAGUAUCCAGGGAUACAUGGUGUGGUGUGGUUUACAUGUCAUUCUCAUGUCUGUAGUUCUCAUUGAUGCUCCAUGGCAUCUUGGAAGGCAGAUUUUAUCACCCUCAUUUUGUUGAUGAAGAAGCAGAGACCUAGACAUGCUCUGGAGCUGGCCCCAAGGCACAGAGAGGACCAGAUUCUGGUGGGAAUCUGGGGGUCCUCCAACUCGUGUUGUUAAACCCUGGGAGGGGUAAGAAUUGAAAAUUGUUAUUGUCAGUGGUGUGGACUUGAGCUGUGAAUAUGUUAAUACUGUCUCCACAUUUCCCAGGUUGGAAGAAGAAGGCCUUCAGAUGGGCAGUUUGCACCAGGCAUAACAGGGAAAUUAUCUGAGAUACGACAAAGUGAUUGCAAGAUGUCCUCUUAGUGGGUGUCAAAAGUUGAAUUGUGGUCCCCUCUGCCCACCAUUUAUAUGCUGAAGUCCUAAUCCCUGCCUCAUAAUGUGGCCUUAUCUGGAAAUAAGGUCAUUGCCGAUGUAAUUAGUUAAGAUGAGGCUAUAUUGGAGUAGUGUGGGCCUCUCCUCCAAUAUGACUGGUGUCUUAUAAAAAAUGUGGACACACAGACACACAGGGAGAACGCCAAGUGAAAAUUGGAUUGAUGCUGCCACAAGCCAAGGAACUACCAGAAGCCAGGAGAGAUGGUCCCCUGGAACCUUCAGAGCAACCAGCCCUGCCGACACUUUGAUCUCGGACUUCCAGCCUCCAGAACUUCAAGACCAUAAAUGUCUGUUGUGUAAACCCACCCAGUCUGCAGUGGGUUUGUA
RNAcentral lists this long non-coding RNA (3235 nucleotides) under Homo sapiens (human). RNAcentral describes it as "non-protein coding lnc-IGFBP3-5:1". The record is from RNAcentral. Lineage: Eukaryota; Metazoa; Chordata; Mammalia; Primates; Hominidae.